Molecule: long non-coding RNA, 1835 nt
Organism: Pan troglodytes (chimpanzee)
Lineage: Eukaryota; Metazoa; Chordata; Mammalia; Primates; Hominidae
Exons: 4
Source: RefSeq, a predicted model, not a curated record
UUUCCAUCGGGGAAGUGAGCCUGGAGGACGCCGUGGAGUCCACACCCUACACCUGCCUUCCCCUUGCAGGUUUUUGGCCCAAAUCUCAGCUCCUUCAGCUACAUGGGGCCUCCCUGGACCCAACUCAGGGGCACCUUUUGGCCCAAGGGGAGUUUCAGAAGCAGCGAGGACAGACACAUGUGGGGGGCAUCUGCAGGUGGUGGAGGGUGUGAAAGGAGGUCCCUGAGCUGCCAGGCACCCAGACUGUGUCUGUAGGGAGGCCCCGCAGUCCCUGCACCCCCUCGACUGCCCGGUGCUCUCUGUGGAGAAACACGACAGACGCGGUUGGACACAGCACAGUGGAUGGACGUCCCCACCUGCUCCCUGCAGACACUUUGGGUGGAAGCCCAGACUGUCCCUGGCUGCCAAGCAGACCAUGCUGAGGGGUGGUGGCCAGGAGCCAGGGAGCCUGCCCACUCCUGCCCCAGUGACACCCCACAGGUCACAGGAGAAAUGCCAGGAGCCUCAUGGUGUGGAAAGGGACACGGAGGCCCGGAGCACUGAGGGGCUUUCCCAAGGCCACGCGGCCGGGCACGGGGAAGCUGGGCCCUCCCGGCGCCUCCAAGGCCUCUUCCCGGCUGGAGGCAGCUUCACCCACCAGGCCUGGCAGUCGAGAGUCUGAGACUUCAGUAGUAAUGGGGUUUCUUGGCAGGAAACUGGGAGAUGAGUAGGUUUCCGGAAAGGCUGGAUAGAACCUGAGAGCUGAAGGGAAACACCGGAGCCAGCCUGGCCCAAGGACCAGCCUUUAGUCCAACCGCAGGCCCUGUGCUGGCUGGGGCGCAGCUGGCUCUACCCCUGGGUGUGGCUGCAGUCACGGCCUCCCCGCCCUGCAAAUGCAGCUCUCAAUGCUGCCGGCUGCUCCCGACGUGAGGCCCAGCCCCAGCUGUGGAGCAAAGGUGCACCUCCAGGAGCAUCUCCACCAAACCUCAACGAAGACCAUCCCCCCCACAGCAGGGGCGAGCUGGAACCCCCUGAGCUGACCGCCUGGGGCCUCCUUCGGCCCCUUUAACCAAGCACGGUGGAGCCCAGGCUAUCCUGUCCACGAUUGCACCGCAGACGGGCGCCUGAGUGCCCGCGAGCACACACUGCUUUCAGAUCUGACUGAAGGCCCCUGCAGCAGCCCUGUGCUGACAUCCAUUGCCCCAGCGAUAAAGACCUGGGUCCUCGGUCCCUCCACAGCAGCCUGCACCCAAGUCCCCUCGCUGAGCUCCAGCCACCGGCCCCGCUGGGCAAAGUGACCAUGUGAUACGGAGCUCCUGCCUCCCCGGAGUUGGAUGUUCCGUGGCUGCGUGUGCCCUACAGCAGCACGGUUCAGUAGGCAGAGGCCACUUCUACUACCCGGCUAAGGAAAAGAUGGGCAGAGCCUGCUCUGGAUGACGCUGUGUUCCAGCCGGCGGAGAGGGUCCCCCAUUUCCUCGGAACUAAUCCUCCAGGAAAUUAACAGACAGUUUGCUGUGGACAACUAGAGCCCUCCCCUUCCUUAGCCCUGAGCGAGGUAAACAAUUCUGCUCUGCCUUCCGGAAGUUUCAAAUUAGCUCUUCAACCAGCGUUUUCACGCAGCUUCCAGUCCUGCCACAGUCUUGAAGAAGAGAUCAGCUUUCCCGUCUUCAUUCUUGCCAAGAUUAGCUGCCCUUCGAAUCUCCCGUGUGUCAUUAAUCCCAGCACGAACAAGCACUUGGGAACUGCGGGCUGCAGAUGGUCUGCUUAUCCUACGGAACCCUCCUCUUUUGAGGCUUAACCCCUUUAGUCUUUGUUGCUUCUGUAGCUUUCUGAUGCCAUUAAAGAGAUGAUUUUUA